UAAGAGCUCUGUGAUUCAUGGGAUCAGCAACCCGUCAUUGGGGGCUGUCAGGUUGGCAACUCAGAGGACACACACAUGCACACAAGGAAUUCAUAGGAUAGAUCAAGGGGGAGGCAGGAAAGCGUGGAAAAGAAAGGAAGAAACCAGCACAGAUGGGGGCUGUACUGAAGAUCCCCAUCUUCAGUUAUUGCCAUCACUAGCUACCUCUGAGCAAUUCCUGUGGUUGCCCCAAAUGCAGUUUUUCACUUUGGUUUUACGCUUUCCCUCUCCCUCUGCAGGGCUGUGCAUCCAGUGUGUUUCUGUGGAGCUUCAUUACAGGUUACAUUCAGGCGCAUAUGUCAUCCCUCCGUUGCCCAGAGACCGUGCCAGAUACCACCAGCUCCAACAAAGGGAAGGACAGCCACUGGACUACCGUGAACUACCCCACAGCAGCAGCAGAAUUGGAUCCGUGGAUACACUCAUUCCGGGACCUUGAGAGCUUGAAGCCAGCUGGGGCUGGGCAGAGACUACAGCCUUCUCCUGCUUCCGCACUUGGAAUCCCGACCUGCCACCCCGGAGCUGCUGAAGUAUGCUCUCCACACCUCUGAGCUCCCCACUGCCAGAAGCCUCUUUGGAUUUCCAGUGUGCCUGGAAGGAAGGAACUCUCUGCUCUCUUCUCACCAGAAGUUGGUGCUCAUGCUACAACGGUGCCAAGCCGGGGAUGCAACGAGAGAGAAGCAGGCUUGAGACAAGCCAACUCAGUCCACUUGUGACUUUCUGUAGCAGACUCCUUUUCCCCAGGGCGGUAAGACAAAUGGUUUAAUAACCCAGAAUGCUGUGCUCUUUGCUUCAGCAAAGUUGACUCUCUGCAUUCAACCUUAUUCACAGGUAUCUCCAACAACCUCCUGGGAAAAUGCUGAACAAACGGAGAUCACGGCUUGGAGGCCCAGGGCUGGCCUUGCAUUGUUUGCUUUUUAUUGUGAGGCUUAUCUUGCUGUGUCAUAUGGUUAAAAACUGGAGCCUUGGCUCCAAGAUAGCGGUGAGAAGGCAAGAAAAGCUCGUGCGCAUUUGUCUUCAGGUCAGUUUUAUAAAUGAAUGUACUGAUGCCGCCCUCAACAAAAAUGCAAGGGAGAAACUAUGAGCAAGAGAGAACAAGUCCUAACUUCUUUUCUGUCGUGUGUUUUUCUGGAAAUGAAAAAAUUUGAACACUGCUCGCAAGCUCUCUCACCAGAGAACUGGCUGCACUCCAACAACCGUGUGAAGUGCUGGACUUCCACUCCGGGACGGCGAGCACGGCCGUAGCUAGCCUAGCUGGAGGUACAUUCGGAAAACGAAACCAGGUUUUAUACUCAGUUCCCAUCUGUCCCAGGAUCUUGGGAUGUCCUAGUAGUGUCAGGGACAGAAAGCCAAGCCUGUUAGAGAUAUCGAAAUAGAAUCAGGUGACGAAGGAUGAGAAGCUCAGAAGGCUCCACAGGGUGCAAUGUCCAAGUGGGGUGGCAAAGGAGAGGGAAGAGGUUUUUGAAAGCAAGCUGGACUCUAAGUGCUUACCCACCACUUAGUAGGAAGAAACACGAAAAGAAUUCCUGCUGUUUCCCAGGAGAAUUCACUGAGGCCACAGCUUGAACCUGAGCUGACUCACCGAUGGGCAGCAAUUACUUCAGACCUGUUUCGGACAAGACAGAAGGUCCAUCCUGCAGCUCCACUCACAGGAUCACAGAGCAGCGGUGGUGUGGUGUUCAUCGCAGUGCUUUAUUGUGAAGCGUGGUAAUAUCUGGGUCUUCUUCAGCAACAUGAAGAUUACUUUUACUCAGUUUUAGCCAUGUAAAAGUGUAGAUGUCUAAGCCAGUGAUCUAACCCUUCUCUACAGGCUGUGAAGAGAACGGGAGACAUCUCCAGAGAGUGAGUCACUUCUUCCUAUGUACAGUGUCUAAAGUGGGUGGGAUGAUUCAUCCUCCAAAGGUAACAGUCUCUCUUUCUAUGGCUUACAUGACUAGUUUCAACUGAAAGCCUAACUUUUUGGUGUCAGAAAUUAGCCAUCUUCACUGUUACCCACAUUUGUCUCAAGUUAUUUUCAAAAUGCAGAGCGAGGUGAGAAGGCUUACUUCUCAGUAGAUGGCCCCUUCACAGGAGCGUUUUGUGCUUUCUCCUGGGAUCUGCACAUCUUGGUCCUUCGGAAAUGGCACUGAAAUGGUUUGCUCAAGUUUCAUGGAGUCAGAGAAAAUAAAGUCUGUUGGAAACAUAAAGAGAAGCCACUUGACCCAUCCCAAAUCCACAGGCAGAAGGCUGCGGUUACGUUUUGUUUUCCUUAAUGUUUCCUCCUUUCAACAAUAUCUUCCAAGUCAGUAAGAAAAUUUCAGUUGUCUUCAAUGGGCUUUCAUCCAAGCCUGCAGAGAGAGCAAUAGAGAAAAUUCAGUUGCAGAGGCAAAUCGAAAGAGGGGAAAGGUAAUGACACGAGAGAGCUAAAAGACGUAAUCGUGAGAGGGGGGAGAGAGGGAAACAAAGAGAGGUGCUUUAAAGAUUGAGAACUGCAGGAACACAGAGACAUCGCUCGGUGGAGAGGAGAUCUGGGCAAGGGGAGAGGGACAAACUCAUACCCUUGAAAUACGCAUCUCUCCAACACUGCGGCAUCACUUCCAUUUGAAAAUGCCUAACUGCUCUUCAGUUUAAUCAUUGCUGCACUUCUGGGUAUAAGACGAAUAAUUAAGCCUGGGAGUAGAAUACAGCAAGUGUUAAUAGGGCAGAAGGUACUGCAAAGUCCUUAUGAAAAGCUGCGCUUGCAGCACAAAGUGGCUGCUGUUCUCUGCAUCCCCAAUCACAAAGUGAGGAGCUUGAAAGUACUAAAUUAAAUGAAGUGCGUCUGUAUCCAUUCCGCUGGACUUUUUUUCCCCUGCGUUUGAUAACUGUUGCUUGCUAAAUAAUACCCCAUCUCUAGCGAAGGAGGAAAAAUAUAAUUCUAAAUCUCCCUUCCAAAUCAAACCAAGGACGGACAUCCUGCACGGCCUUCCGAGCCUACCCCUGCGGACUCCCACAAGCUUAGUCUUCUCCCUUACAUAAGUCAAUAUUUAAAGAAAAUGUCUGGUGCCUUAGAGACGAUUCAGUCUGAAGCGGCACUGUUGUGGAGCUCGUCCUCUUUGAUGAGUUCAAGAUUGCUUCCUGUUGCUUUCAGACAAAAAAAAAAUGAAGAAAUAAAUACCCACUUCAGACCACGAGAGGCAACAAUUAAACAAUGUCUGAGACAACACUGGGCCAGCUACGCUGCCCAGACACCUUGAAGUGCUGGAGUUUGCACAUAGCUAGCUAUGCGAGAGAAGACGCAGCAAGGAAAUGCUGGAACUGGAACAAGAUGCAGCCGUUUAUCCACGUACGACGCCAGUUACUGCAGUUUGCUGCUCUGUCUGCUGUUUCCCCCUCAAUCUUAAGUGUCUCUCCUCCCCAGAGCACACUUCUUCCUCCGACUGUGGACCACCAGGACAAAACAGAAGCGGCUCAAAAGGGAGCAGUUCGCAUUUGAAGCAUCCGAAACCUGUUUGUGGACGGCGUGCAAGGAGCGGUGUUCAUUCCUGCGGGAGAUCAGACUGGGCGUCACGCUAAACAGCGAAUGCAGAGCUCCUCUUUCAGGGCUUCGUUUUCCGCGUGCACCCAAUUAAACAGAGCCGUAUAAACUAAUCAAAUUAGGCUGGGGAGGAAGAAAGACAGAUUGUUAUUUUUAAAUACUUGGGAGACCUUUGGGAAUGGGAGGUCAUAAAGGUAAAGAGGGAGGUCAAUAAAUAGAAAGGAGGAAAUUAUUUUUAACCAUUGCAGAUAAGGUAUUUUUAGAGCAAUCACCUGAAGGCUCCCUGAACUACACAGAAUGAUAAGCACCGCUCACCACGGCAGCAGUAAUGGGAGCUGAGCUGCAGCCUGGCUCAGACCCACGUUCCCUUGCUUCUUUCAAGUGAGUUUUCAAUGUAAUGAUUAUUUUUUUUUUCCUUUUUCUCCCACCUCCUGUCUUUACUGCCAUCACUGAGGGUACCUCAGAGAGUCUGGCUCUCCUAUGGACAUUUGAGGAGGUUUUCAGUUGCUGCUAAGUGGGUAUUUUUCCCCCUCUGUGGUUUGUUUUUCAUCCUUUUCUUUCGCCUGCCCUCCUCUCACCUCCGCGCUCCGUGGAAGAGAUGAAGAGCCGAGCCUCCACAGGCAAGCCGGUGUGAAGAGAAACCAGAGGUUGACUUCCAAAAGGGCUGGGGGACCUGGGGGCCGGGGGGAGACAUCUCUGGCUCAAACACCGUCGAGGGAUGCCACAGGCAGGG
Molecule: long non-coding RNA, 4265 nt
Organism: Chroicocephalus ridibundus (black-headed gull)
Lineage: Eukaryota; Metazoa; Chordata; Aves; Charadriiformes; Laridae
Exons: 3
Source: RefSeq, a predicted model, not a curated record